RNAcentral lists this transfer RNA (68 nucleotides) under Henriciella barbarensis. It matches the Rfam family "tRNA". Rfam says of the family: Transfer RNA (tRNA) molecules are approximately 80 nucleotides in length. Their secondary structure includes four short double-helical elements and three loops (D, anti-codon, and T loops). Lineage: Bacteria; Pseudomonadati; Pseudomonadota; Alphaproteobacteria; Hyphomonadales; Hyphomonadaceae. The record is from RNAcentral. RNAcentral also lists the same sequence under 4 other names.
CGGAUAUAGCACAAUGGUAGUGCAGCAGCCUUCCAAGCUGAGGAUGCGGGUUCGAUUCCCGCUAUCCG